This 471-nucleotide long non-coding RNA is filed under the name Ornithorhynchus anatinus (platypus). RNAcentral's name for it is "lncRNA (ENSOANG00000047825.1)". Lineage: Eukaryota; Metazoa; Chordata; Mammalia; Monotremata; Ornithorhynchidae. The record is from RNAcentral.
CGUGGCUGUUUCUGAUUAACCUCAGGGUCUGGUUUGUUUUGUUUGUUUUCCUUGCUCAGGCAGUUCCCAUGUGACAGGCGGAGUUGGAAGCUGUCGGUGAGGUCCCGUCGGCUGGAGUUGGACCGGUGAACCGCUCUGCACGAUCCUCAAUAAAUACCACUGAUUGAGUGAUUGCCCAGGUGGACACCGGAAUGAUAUUUCAAUCUGCCAUUUGGUUUAUGACAAGACAGUGCUUGAAAAUUUAUGAAGAAAGGAGGGAGGGGCCGUGGCCGAUCCCAGAACUGCCCGUGGACUGGACAGCCCGGCUCAGCCCAGUCCUGCCCAGAGGAAAGGAAAACAGUCUAACCACGGGAUGCUCUUCCAGCCUCCAUUCCGGGCAGACCUGCAGACCCCGACCAGGGUCCCAGAGGGACCAAAGGGCUGAGGUGGGCACUGGGGAGGAGGGGCAGAUCUGGGUGAAGGGAAACUUUC